UUUGAUCAUGGCUCAGAUUGAACGCUGGCGGCAGGCCUAACACAUGCAAGUCGAACGGUAACAGGAAGCAGCUUGCUGCUUUGCUGACGAGUGGCGGACGGGUGAGUAAUGUCUGGGAAACUGCCUGAUGGAGGGGGAUAACUACUGGAAACGGUAGCUAAUACCGCAUAACGUCGCAAGACCAAAGAGGGGGACCUUCGGGCCUCUUGCCAUCGGAUGUGCCCAGAUGGGAUUAGCUAGUAGGUGGGGUAACGGCUCACCUAGGCGACGAUCCCUAGCUGGUCUGAGAGGAUGACCAGCCACACUGGAACUGAGACACGGUCCAGACUCCUACGGGAGGCAGCAGUGGGGAAUAUUGCACAAUGGGCGCAAGCCUGAUGCAGCCAUGCCGCGUGUAUGAAGAAGGCCUUCGGGUUGUAAAGUACUUUCAGCGGGGAGGAAGGGAGUAAAGUUAAUACCUUUGCUCAUUGACGUUACCCGCAGAAGAAGCACCGGCUAACUCCGUGCCAGCAGCCGCGGUAAUACGGAGGGUGCAAGCGUUAAUCGGAAUUACUGGGCGUAAAGCGCACGCAGGCGGUUUGUUAAGUCAGAUGUGAAAUCCCCGGGCUCAACCUGGGAACUGCAUCUGAUACUGGCAAGCUUGAGUCUCGUAGAGGGGGGUAGAAUUCCAGGUGUAGCGGUGAAAUGCGUAGAGAUCUGGAGGAAUACCGGUGGCGAAGGCGGCCCCCUGGACGAAGACUGACGCUCAGGUGCGAAAGCGUGGGGAGCAAACAGGAUUAGAUACCCUGGUAGUCCACGCCGUAAACGAUGUCGACUUGGAGGUUGUGCCCUUGAGGCGUGGCUUCCGGAGCUAACGCGUUAAGUCGACCGCCUGGGGAGUACGGCCGCAAGGUUAAAACUCAAAUGAAUUGACGGGGGCCCGCACAAGCGGUGGAGCAUGUGGUUUAAUUCGAUGCAACGCGAAGAACCUUACCUGGUCUUGACAUCCACGGAAGUUUUCAGAGAUGAGAAUGUGCCUUCGGGAACCGUGAGACAGGUGCUGCAUGGCUGUCGUCAGCUCGUGUUGUGAAAUGUUGGGUUAAGUCCCGCAACGAGCGCAACCCUUAUCCUUUGUUGCCAGCGGUCCGGCCGGGAACUCAAAGGAGACUGCCAGUGAUAAACUGGAGGAAGGUGGGGAUGACGUCAAGUCAUCAUGGCCCUUACGACCAGGGCUACACACGUGCUACAAUGGCGCAUACAAAGAGAAGCGACCUCGCGAGAGCAAGCGGACCUCAUAAAGUGCGUCGUAGUCCGGAUUGGAGUCUGCAACUCGACUCCAUGAAGUCGGAAUCGCUAGUAAUCGUGGAUCAGAAUGCCACGGUGAAUACGUUCCCGGGCCUUGUACACACCGCCCGUCACACCAUGGGAGUGGGUUGCAAAAGAAGUAGGUAGCUUAACCUUCGGGAGGGCGCUUACCACUUUGUGAUUCAUGACUGGGGUGAAGUCGUAACAAGGUAACCGUAGGGGAACCUGCGGUUGGAUCACCUCCUUACCUUAAAGAAGC
This 1543-nucleotide ribosomal RNA is filed under the name Escherichia coli. RNAcentral describes it as "bacterial SSU rRNA". It matches the Rfam family "Bacterial small subunit ribosomal RNA". The record is from RNAcentral. Lineage: Bacteria; Pseudomonadati; Pseudomonadota; Gammaproteobacteria; Enterobacterales; Enterobacteriaceae.